This 397-nucleotide transfer-messenger RNA is filed under the name Patescibacteria group. RNAcentral's name for it is "JABIEQ01 sp018651085 Standard tmRNA". It matches the Rfam family "transfer-messenger RNA". Rfam says of the family: Bacterial tmRNA, also known as 10Sa RNA or SsrA, is named for its dual tRNA and mRNA-like properties. Its role is to liberate the mRNA from a stalled ribosome. To accomplish this part of the tmRNA is used as a reading frame that ends in a translation stop signal. RNAcentral also lists the same sequence under 1 other name. The record is from RNAcentral.
GGGGAUGACAGGACUCGAUAGACGGAUCCGUUAUCUAUAUAUGCAUACCGAGGGUGUCUCCCCUCGUAAAUCAAGGGGCAACCGAUUACGUGCAAACGUUAUCAGUCGAGUAAAGGCUACACUUGCUAACGCAUUUGCUAUGCCAACACUCGCAUCUGUUGUUGCCUAAAUAAGCACAGCCAUCGCGUCCAUGAUACUCAAUAAUGGUCCCGCGGUGUCAAAACAUUGAGUGUAGGGUAUAUAGUGUGUCUGCAUGGUAUAUCUGAAAUUCUCCUAGGCUAGUACUGCGUGAUUUUGCCGCUUUUUUAUCACAGUAUGAAACAACAAAACGGCUAUGUAUGUAGAGUGUGUAGGUAGCCCGCUCUAGACCUGGGUUCAAAUCCCAGCAUCUCCACAA